This 402-nucleotide ribosomal RNA is filed under the name Bacteroidota bacterium. Its description in RNAcentral is "Bacteroidetes bacterium partial 16S ribosomal RNA". It matches the Rfam family "Bacterial small subunit ribosomal RNA", at positions 355 to 776 of the family's 1533-position model. The record is from RNAcentral. Lineage: Bacteria; Pseudomonadati; Bacteroidota.
UGGGGAAUUUUGCACAAUGGGGGAAACCCUGAUGCAGCGACGCCGCGUGAUUUAGAAGGCCUUCGGGUUGUAAAAAUCUUUUUUAUGGGAUGAAAAUGACAGUACCAUAAGAAUAAGGACCGGCUAAUUACGUGCCAGCAGCCGCGGUAAUACGUAAGGUCCGAGCGUUGUCCGGAAUCAUUGGGCGUAAAGGGUACGUAGGCGGGUAAGCAAGUUAGAAGUGAAAUCCUGUAGCUCAACUACAGUAAGCUUUUAAAACUGCUCAUCUUGAGAUAUGGAAGGGAAAGUGGAAUUCCUAGUGUAGCGGUGAAAUGCGCAGAUAUUAGGAGGAAUACCGGUGGCGAAGGCGACUUUCUGGCCAUAAUCUGACGCUGAGGUACGAAAGCGUGGGUAGCAAACAGG